CAUUGGGACUGAGACACUGCCCAAACUCCUACGGGAGGCUGCAGUAGGGAAUUUUCCGCAAUGCACGAAAGUGUGACGGAGCGACGCCGCGUGUGUGAUGAAGGCUUUCGGGUCGUAAAGCACUGUUGUAAGGGAAGAAUAACUGAAUUCAGAGAAAGUUUUCAGCUUGACGGUACCUUACCAGAAAGGGAUGGCUAAAUACGUGCCAGCAGCCGCGGUAAUACGUAUGUCCCGAGCGUUAUCCGGAUUUAUUGGGCGUAAAGCGAGCGCAGACGGUUUAUUAAGUCUGAUGUGAAAUCCCGAGGCCCAACCUCGGAACUGCAUUGGAAACUGAUUUACUUGAGUGCGAUAGAGGCAAGUGGAACUCCAUGUGUAGCGGUGAAAUGCGUAGAUAUGUGGAAGAACACCAGUGGCGAAAGCGGCUUGCUAGAUCGUAACUGACGUUGAGGCUCGAAAGUAUGGGUAGCAAACGGGAUUAGAUACCCCGGUAGUCCAUACCGUAAACGAUGGGUGCUAGUUGUUAAGAGGUUUCCGCCUCCUAGUGACGUAGCAAACGCAUUAAGCACCCCGCCUGAGGAGUACGGCCGCAAGGCUAAAACUUAAAGGAAUUGACGGGGACCCGCACAAGCGGUGGAGCAUGUGGUUUAAUUCGAAGAUACGCGAAAAACCUUACCAGGUCUUGACAUACCAAUGAUCGCUUUUGUAAUGAAAGCUUUUCUUCGGAACAUUGGAUACAGGUGGUGCAUGGUCGUCGUCAGCUCGUGUCGUGAGAUGUUGGGUUAAGUCCCGCAACGAGCGCAACCCUUGUUAUUAGUUGCCAGCAUUUAGUUGGGCACUCUAAUGAGACUGCCGGUGAUAAACCGGAGGAAGGUGGGGACGACGUCAGAUCAUCAUGCCCCUUAUGACCUGGGCAACACACGUGCUACAAUGGGAAGUACAACGAGUCGCAAACUGGCGACGGCAAGCUAAUCUCUUAAAACUUCUCUCAGUUCGGACUGGAGUCUGCAACUCGACUCCACGAAGGCGGAAUCGCUAGUAAUCGCGAAUCAGCAUGUCGCGGUGAAUACGUUCCCGGGUCUUGUACACACCGCCCGUCAAAUCAUGGGAGUCGGAAGUACCCAAAGUCGCUUGGCUAACUUUUAGAGGCCGGUGCCUAAGGUAAAAUCGAUGACUGGGAUUAAGU
RNAcentral lists this ribosomal RNA (1183 nucleotides) under Oenococcus oeni. RNAcentral's name for it is "bacterial SSU rRNA". It matches the Rfam family "Bacterial small subunit ribosomal RNA", at positions 311 to 1486 of the family's 1533-position model. Lineage: Bacteria; Bacillati; Bacillota; Bacilli; Lactobacillales; Lactobacillaceae. The record is from RNAcentral.